RNAcentral lists this ribosomal RNA (459 nucleotides) under uncultured bacterium. Its description in RNAcentral is "partial 16S ribosomal RNA". It matches the Rfam family "Bacterial small subunit ribosomal RNA", at positions 338 to 795 of the family's 1533-position model. The record is from RNAcentral.
CCUACGGGAGGCAGCAGUGAGGAAUAUUGGUCAAUGGGAGAGAUCCUGAACCAGCCAAGCCGCGUGAGGGAAGACGGCCCUAUGGGUUGUAAACCUCUUUUGUCGGAGAACAAAACCCGGGACGUGUCCCGGACUGCGUGUAUCCGAAGAAAAAGCAUCGGCUAACUCCGUGCCAGCAGCCGCGGUAAUACGGAGGAUGCGAGCGUUAUCCGGAUUUAUUGGGUUUAAAGGGUGCGUAGGCGGUCCGUUAAGUCAGCGGUAAAAUUGCGGGGCUCAACCCCGUCGAGCCGUUGAAACUGGGGAUCUUGAGUGGGCGAGAAGUAUGCGGAAUGCGUGGUGUAGCGGUGAAAUGCAUAGAUAUCACGCAGAACUCCGAUUGCGUAGGCAGCAUACCGGCGCCCGACUGACGCUGAGGCACGAAAGCGUGGGGAUCGAACAGGAUUAGAUACCCGGGUAGUC